AAUGAACGCUGGUGGUAUGCUUAACACAUGCAAGUCGAACGAGAAGUUCCUUCGGGGACGAGUAAAGUAGCAGACGGGUGAGUAAUGUAUGGGAAUUUGCCCAGUAGUAAGGAAUAAGCCUUGGAAACGAGGUCUAAUACCGUAUAAUACCGAUUUAUCGGGAAAGGUUCAGUUCUUCGGAAUUGUGCCGCUAUUGGAGAAGCCCAUAUCGGAUUAGUUUGUUGGUGAGGUAAUGGCUCACCAAGACUAUGAUCCGUAGCUGGUCUGAGAGGAUGAUCAGCCACACUGGGACUUAGACACGGCCCAG
This 307-nucleotide ribosomal RNA is filed under the name uncultured bacterium. RNAcentral describes it as "bacterial SSU rRNA". It matches the Rfam family "Bacterial small subunit ribosomal RNA", at positions 29 to 334 of the family's 1533-position model. The record is from RNAcentral.